RNAcentral lists this ribosomal RNA (253 nucleotides) under uncultured bacterium. RNAcentral describes it as "partial 16S ribosomal RNA". It matches the Rfam family "Bacterial small subunit ribosomal RNA", at positions 524 to 776 of the family's 1533-position model. The record is from RNAcentral.
UACGUAGGGGGCAGGCGUUAUCCGGAUUUACUGGGUGUAAAGGGAGCGUAGGCGGUUCAGCAAGUCAGAAGUGAAAGCCCGGGGCUCAACUCCGGGACUGCUUUUGAAACUGUUGAACUAGAUUGCAGGAGAGGUAAGUGGAAUUCCUAGUGUAGCGGUGAAAUGCGUAGAUAUUAGGAGGAACACCAGUGGCGAAGGCGGCUUUCUGGCUCAUAACUGACGCUGAGGCGCGAAAGCGUGGGGAGCAAACAGG